GAUCUGCCCUGCACUUUGGGAUAAGCCUGGGAAACUGGGUCUAAUACCAGGAUAGGACUACGGCCUGCAUGGGUUGUGGUGGAAAGCUUUUGCGGUGUGGGAUGGGCCCGCGGCCUAUCAGCUUGUUGGUGGGGUGAUGGCCUACCAAGGCGACGACGGGUAGCCGGCCUGAGAGGGUGUCCGGCCACACUGGGACUGAGAUACGGCCCAGACUCUACGGGAGGCAGCAGUGGGGAAUAUUGCACAAUGGGCGCAAGCCUGAUGCAGCGACGCCGCGUGAGGGAUGACGGCCUUCGGGUUGUAAACCUCUUUCAGUAGGGACGAAGCGCAAGUGACGGUACCUAUARAAGAAGCACMGGCCAACUACGUGCCAGCAGCCGCGGUAAUACGUAGGGUGCGWGCGUUGUCCGGAAUUACUGGGCGUAAAGAGCUCGUAGGUGGUUUGUCGCGUUGUUCGUGAAAACUCACA
This 469-nucleotide ribosomal RNA is filed under the name uncultured Mycobacterium sp. RNAcentral's name for it is "bacterial SSU rRNA". It matches the Rfam family "Bacterial small subunit ribosomal RNA", at positions 123 to 606 of the family's 1533-position model. Lineage: Bacteria; Bacillati; Actinomycetota; Actinomycetes; Mycobacteriales; Mycobacteriaceae. The record is from RNAcentral.